This 475-nucleotide ribosomal RNA is filed under the name uncultured bacterium. RNAcentral describes it as "partial 16S ribosomal RNA". It matches the Rfam family "Bacterial small subunit ribosomal RNA", at positions 28 to 523 of the family's 1533-position model. The record is from RNAcentral.
GGUGAACGCUGGCGGCGUGCUUAAGACAUGCAAGUCGAACGCAGUCUUCGGACUGAGUGGCGCACGGGUGAGUAACACGUAACUGACCUACCCCCAAGUCGCGGAUAACUGGCCGAAAGGUCAGCUAAUACGUGAUGUGAUGUCCCCUUUCUGGGGGGCCAUUAAAGGUUUACUGCUUGGGGAUGGGGUUGCGUUCCAUCAGCUAGUUGGCGGGGUAAAGGCCCACCAGGGCAACGACGGAUAGCCGGCCUGGGGGGGUGGCCGGCCACGGGGGCACUGAGACACGGAUCCCACUCCUACGGGAGGCAGCAGUUAGGAAUCUUCCACAAUGGGCGAAAGCCUGAUGGAGCGACGCCGCGUGAGGGAUGAAGGUUCUCGGAUCGUAAACCUCUGAAUCAGGGACGAAAGACGCGUAAGCGGGAUGACGGUACCUGAGUAAUAGCACCGGCUAACUCCGUGCCAGCCGCCGCGGUAA